This 430-nucleotide ribosomal RNA is filed under the name uncultured bacterium. RNAcentral's name for it is "bacterial SSU rRNA". It matches the Rfam family "Bacterial small subunit ribosomal RNA", at positions 354 to 796 of the family's 1533-position model. The record is from RNAcentral.
GUGGGGAAUAUUGCGCAAUGGGCGAAAGCCUGACGCAGCAACGCCGCGUGAGGGAUGACGGCCUUCGGGUUGUAAACCUCUUUCAGCAGGGAAGAAGCGAAAGUGACGGUACCUGCAGAAGAAGCACCGGCUAACUACGUGCCAGCAGCCGCGGUAAUACGUAGGGUGCAAGCGUUGUCCGGAUUUAUUGGGCGUAAAGAGCUCGUAGGCGGUUAGUCACGUCGGAUGUGAAAACCCGGAGCUUAACUCCGGGCCUGCAUUCGAUACGGGCUGACUAGAGUGUUGUAGGGGAGACUGGAACUCCUGGUGUAGCGGUGAAAUGCGCAGAUAUCAGGAAGAACACCGGUGGCGAAGGCGGGUCUCUGGGCAACUACUGACGCUGAGGAGCGAAAGCGUGGGGAGCAAACAGGAUUAGAAACCCCAGUAGUCC